GACGAGGCUCCAGCGAAUGGGAAGGUCGCGACGGAGGAGAGAAGCAGCGGCGAGGCUGGCUUCACUCCAAACACAGCCGAGCAGCAAACGGUAAAGACCCAACUGCCGGUGGCAG
Molecule: non-coding RNA, 115 nt
Filed under: Alexandrium tamarense
Lineage: Eukaryota; Dinophyceae; Gonyaulacales; Pyrocystaceae
Source: RNAcentral